Molecule: transfer RNA, 84 nt
Filed under: Desulfitobacterium metallireducens DSM 15288
Lineage: Bacteria; Bacillati; Bacillota; Clostridia; Eubacteriales; Desulfitobacteriaceae
Description: tRNA-Tyr (GTA) (tRNA-Tyr-GTA-1-1, tRNA-Tyr-GTA-1-2)
Rfam family: tRNA
About the family: Transfer RNA (tRNA) molecules are approximately 80 nucleotides in length. Their secondary structure includes four short double-helical elements and three loops (D, anti-codon, and T loops). Further hydrogen bonds mediate the characteristic L-shaped molecular structure. tRNAs have two regions of fundamental functional importance: the anti-codon, which is responsible for specific mRNA codon recognition, and the 3' end, to which the tRNAs corresponding amino acid is attached (by aminoacyl-tRNA synthetases). tRNAs cope with the degeneracy of the genetic code in two manners: having more than one tRNA (with a specific anti-codon) for a particular amino acid; and 'wobble' base-pairing, i.e. permitting non-standard base-pairing at the 3rd anti-codon position.
Source: RNAcentral
GGGUAGGUGGCCGAGCGGUUAAAGGCGGCAGACUGUAAAUCUGUUCCGUAAGGUACGAUGGUUCGAAUCCAUCCCUGCCCACCA